AGCUCUGCACAGUGGCAGUAUCGUAGCCAAUGAGGUUUAUCCAAGGCGUGGUUAUUGCUAAUUGAAAAAUGUCCCCAUCCCAGCCUUAGACAGUGUGGUCGUGCUGCCUGGUGCAUGCUACAUGUUACUGUUUCCAGACA
Molecule: small nuclear RNA, 140 nt
Organism: Ochotona curzoniae (black-lipped pika)
Lineage: Eukaryota; Metazoa; Chordata; Mammalia; Lagomorpha; Ochotonidae
Product: U4 spliceosomal RNA
Exons: 1
Source: RefSeq, a predicted model, not a curated record